CCUACGGGGUGCAGCAGUGAGGAAUAUUGGUCCAUGGGCGCGAGCCUGAACCAGCCAAGCCGCGUGAGGGAAGAAGGUACUGCGGAUCGUAAACCUCUUUUGUCAGGGAGCAAAAGAGGCCACGAGUGUCCUUACGAGGGUACCCGAAGAAAAAGCAUCGGCUAACUCCGUGCCAGCAGCCGCGGUAAUACGGAGGAUGCGAGCGUUAUCCGGAUUUAUUGGGUUAAAGGGGUGCGCAGGCGGAAGAUUAAGUCAGCGGUAAAAUUGAGGGGCUCAACCUCUUCGAGCCGUUGAAACUGGUGUGCUGGAGUUGGAGAGAAGUACGCGGAAUGCGUGGUGUAGCGGUGAAAUGCAUAGAUAUCACGCAGAACCCCGAUUGCGAAGGCAGCAUACCGGCGCUCAACUGACGCUCAGGCACGAAAGUGUGGGUAUCGAACAGGAUUAGAUACCCCAGUAGUC
RNAcentral lists this ribosomal RNA (459 nucleotides) under uncultured bacterium. Its description in RNAcentral is "partial 16S ribosomal RNA". It matches the Rfam family "Bacterial small subunit ribosomal RNA", at positions 338 to 795 of the family's 1533-position model. The record is from RNAcentral.